Molecule: ribosomal RNA, 681 nt
Filed under: Psychrobacter lutiphocae
Lineage: Bacteria; Pseudomonadati; Pseudomonadota; Gammaproteobacteria; Moraxellales; Moraxellaceae
Description: bacterial SSU rRNA
Rfam family: Bacterial small subunit ribosomal RNA
Source: RNAcentral
CACAUGCAAGUCGAGCGGAAACGAUGAUAGCUUGCUAUCAGGCGUCGAGCGGCGGAUGGGGGUGAAAUACUUAGGAAUCUGCCCAGUAGUGGGGGAUAGCUUGGGGAAACUCGAAUUAAUACCGCAUACACCCUACGGGGAAAAGGGGGCGCUUGCGCUCUCGCUAUUGGAUGAGCCUAAGUCGGAUUAGCUAGUUGGUGGGGUAAAGGCCUACCAAGGCGACGAUCUGUAGCUGGUCUGAGAGGAUGAUCAGCCACACCGGAACUGAGACACGGCCCGGACUCCUACGGGAGGCAGCAGUGGGGAAUAUUGGACAAUGGGGGCAACCCUGAUCCAGCCAUGCCGCGUGUGUGAAGAAGGCCUUUUGGUUGUAAAGCACUUUAAGCAGUGAAGAAGACUCUAUGGUUAAUACCCAUAGACGAUGACAUUAGCUGCAGAAUAAGCACCGGCUAACUCUGUGCCAGCAGCCGCGGUAAUACAGAGGGUGCAAGCGUUAAUCGGAAUUACUGGGCGUAAAGCGAGCGUAGGUGGCUUAAUAAGUUAGAUGUGAAAUCCCCGGGCUUAACCUGGGAACUGCAUCUGAUACUGUUACGCUAGAGUAGGUGAGAGGGAGGUAGAAUUUCAGGUGUAGCGGUGAAAUGCGUAGAGAUCUGAAGGAAUACCGAUGGCGAAGGCAGCCUC